RNAcentral lists this ribosomal RNA (162 nucleotides) under uncultured bacterium. RNAcentral describes it as "partial 16S ribosomal RNA". The record is from RNAcentral.
GCACGUAGUUAGCCGGCUCCUUCUUCUUACGGUACCGUCAUCCACGCGGGCUGUUAACCCGCGCGAUUUCGUUCCGUCCGAAAGUGCUUUACAACCCGAAGGCCUUCUUCACACACGCGGCAUGGCUGGAUCAGGGUUGCCCCCACUGUCCAAAAUUCCCCA